This 497-nucleotide ribosomal RNA is filed under the name uncultured bacterium. Its description in RNAcentral is "partial 16S ribosomal RNA". It matches the Rfam family "Bacterial small subunit ribosomal RNA", at positions 28 to 507 of the family's 1533-position model. The record is from RNAcentral.
GAUGAACGCUGGCGGCGUGCCUAAUACAUGCAAGUCGAGCGAACAGACGAGGAGCUUGCUCCUCUGACGUUAGCGGCGGACGGGUGAGUAACACGUGGAUAACCUACCUAUAAGACUGGGAUAACUUCGGGAAACCGGAGCUAAUACCGGAUAAUAUAUUGAACCGCAUGGUUCAAUAGUGAAAGACGGUUUUGCUGUCACUUAUAGAUGGAUCCGCGCCGCAUUAGCUAGUUGGUAAGGUAACGGCUUACCAAGGCGACGAUGCGUAGCCGACCUGAGAGGGUGAUCGGCCACACGGGAACUGAGACACGGUCCAGACUCCUACGGGAGGCAGCAGUAGGGAAUCUUACGCAAUGGGCGAAAGCCUGACGGAGCAAAGCCGCGGGAGUGAUGAAGGUCUUCGGAUCGUAAAACUCUGUUAUUAGGGAAGAACAAAUGUGUAAGUAACUAUGCACGUCUUGACGGUACCUAAUCAGAAAGCCACGGCUAACUACGUG